GGUUUUGUAGUGUAGUGGUUUGACUGCUGGACUAUGACUCUGGAGUCCAGGAUUUGAAUCCCUGCUUGGCUA
Molecule: non-coding RNA, 72 nt
Organism: Phrynosoma platyrhinos (Desert horned lizard)
Lineage: Eukaryota; Metazoa; Chordata; Lepidosauria; Squamata; Phrynosomatidae
Source: the annotation of a GenBank genome assembly